AUGGGGCCGGGCUGGUACAGAGCCCCGCUCCUGCGGAACGCCGCGCCGCCUCCAGCCCUCACGGCUCCGUGCGCCGAGAAGGCGGCGGGGCCGGGACCCCCUCCGCGCGGCCCGGGGGCUCCCCCCGCGGCGAGGCGGGCGGCGGGGAGGUGCCGUGCGGGUCGGUCAGCGCGUCCCCUCCCCGGUCCGAGCUCCGAGUCCCCGGCCGCCGCCGUCGGGAAGUCGGGCCGCGCCGCUGCGGCCGUGGCGACGGACGUGAUGCUCACCUGUGUUUGCUGUACCACACUGUCUUUCAAAACUGUGCCCCAAAGGGGAGGUGACCUUGGACAAGGCCCAGACCGACAUGAUGUGGACGUGGCCUUUGGAGUUCUCCUCCUGUGAACAUACUUCUGAGGCCAUUGGGUCUUUGCCUGUGGUUGGAGUCUUCGUUGUCCUCCUUCCAGACCUCCUUUUCUCCAUCAACAGGAAGCUCUACUUUGAAAAGAGAGGUGGGUUCUCAUGCCUGGAAUAAGAAGGGAGAAGAAAGCAUUACAAAGAGAAGUCUAGAGUUCAUCAUGGCCUGGGUGAGUAUCACAAUACUAAUCCACCUUUGAUGUACAGAAUCUUUUUCAGACUUUUUCAGAGUGCGGAGAGAAUAGAGAUAUUUACUUUGUCUCAGGUUGUUUGUGUGGAUAACAGCAGGGAUUUGGAUAGACCAUAGCAACUUCCAGAACUUGAUCAAAUGGAUAUACAAUUGCUGCCAGGCUCCCAAUAUCUUUGUUGUUUGGAGUACUCUCUUGAGAAAUGGAGGGCAACACUAGAAAAAAGUGCACUCACCACUCUCUCUGUUAUGGGAGUGUUUUGUUAAUUCAAUUAAGAACAAAAUGUGAAUAAUUUUGAGUAAUGGCACUGCCUUUCUGCUCCUGAAGGAUAUGCCUGCCCUGGUUUUCUUGCAGUGGCUAUUACAUGCUCUUUCAUGCAUUUGUUGUUGUCUGGAAACAUUAUGUCCAUGAGUCCUAGGGACAAAAUAACUGUGAGAGAGCCCAUUAGGGAAUUUGACUCUGUUAUAAAAAUAACAUUUUAAUUUUUCUUAGCUGUCAGAAGAUGCAUCCAUCCUGUUAAUGGUGGUAAAUGGGAAUUUGGUGAUUUCAUCGUAUAUUUGUUGGUGAAUUUGCAUGUUGUAAGUAUAGAGUCAUCAAAUCAAUCAGCCAAGAAGUGGCUUCAGAAGCCUUGCAAUUAAAAGGUCUGCUUCCUAGUGGUUCGCUCAUAAAGCUAAUUGUAGAAUUGCAAAGCUUGGAGCCCUUGGAGCUUUUUUGGUGCACAUUUUGCCUUGCAUUGUGAGUUUCACUUGACUAUUGCAAGGGGUAAGAUCUUGUCAUACCUGAUGAGUCUAUGUUUUUUGAACAAGCAAAUGUGAAGUCAGUGGUACUCACUGAUUUCUUGCUAAAUCUGUUAGUGAGCGAAGGUCACGCUGAUGAUACCAACAAAUUUAAAAAGCAAAUGGUGUUUGAAGUUCUGACUUUAAUGUUUCUAUGCAAAGAUCAUGGUGAGUAUUUUUGUUGUUUCGUUUUUUUAAACUAUGUUUUCUUCAUCAAGAUUAUAUUUAAGUCUUUUAUCCCUUCUCUUCUCCUCCCAUCAAGUAGUGUAAAAAUGUGGCUUUUAUUUCAGUUUUUGAGAUGGCACAUCUUGCAGGAAUAUGUAGGCGUUGACAUUCUAUAGAGCUGUCAUAGGCUAUCAUGUAAACAUGUAUUUGCAGUGCCUUUUAAAAUGUGAAUUAUUACUAAACAGGGUGGCUUUUUUUUUUUUUUUGGUGUUUUGUUCCUUACAAAUUUUGAAAGACAAAAAAUUGCUUCCCAGCUGACAUGCUCAAUGGCAGUUUUCAUUUCAGACUAAAUCUUGUGUGUCUGAGUAAUAAACCUUUGAAAACAUGGGUUUAUAAUGGAAAC
Molecule: long non-coding RNA, 1925 nt
Organism: Phasianus colchicus (ring-necked pheasant)
Lineage: Eukaryota; Metazoa; Chordata; Aves; Galliformes; Phasianidae
Source: Ensembl